CCUACGGGAGGCAGCAGUGAGGACUAUUGGUCAAUGGACGAGAGUCUGAACCAGCCAAGUAGCGUGAAGGAUGACUGCCCUAUGGGUUGUAAACUUCUUUUAUAUGGGAAUAAAAGGUUCCACGUGUGGGAUUUUGUAUGUACCAUAUGAAUAAGGAUCGGCUAAACCCGUGCCAGCAGCCGCGGUAAUACGGAGGAUCCGAGCGUUAUCCGGAUUUAUUGGGUUUAAAGGGAGAGUAGGUGGAUUGUUAAGUCAGUUGUGAAAUUUUGCGGCUCAACCGUAAAAUUGCAGUUGAAACUGGCAGUCAUGAGUACAGUAGAGGUGGGCGGAAUUCGUGGUGUAGCGGUGAAAUGCUUAGAUAUCACGAAGAACUCCGAUUGCGAAGGCAGCUCACUGUACUGCAACUGACACUGAGGCUCGAAAGUGUGGGUAUCAAACAGGAGUAGAUACCCCAGUAGUC
This 460-nucleotide ribosomal RNA is filed under the name uncultured bacterium. RNAcentral describes it as "partial 16S ribosomal RNA". It matches the Rfam family "Bacterial small subunit ribosomal RNA", at positions 338 to 795 of the family's 1533-position model. The record is from RNAcentral.